UUUUGCAGGAUACUGUUUUAUUCUUUAGCUUAAACACAGAUAGCGCCAGACAAAAAAAAGGCCCAUCACUGUUAUUCUCACUUUAAGUUACUAUUCCCAGACCACUGUCUUUCUUCAAGUCUAUUAAGCUGCCCUACUCAGCCUGGAGUAGGCAACUCUUCUCAACCAGAGCUUCAUCCCUAGAGGAAGUCUUUUAACUAAUUGUGUUACUGUUAUCUGACAGUCACCCUUUAGCCUUUAAAUCAAAUAUAAUUUCAGAUGUUCAUGAGCUUGAUGGCACAGAAUAUUUUUCAUCAUUCUACAGUGUAAGCCAUGAUUCUUCCAGUUUAAUGACACUGUUCUUACAGUUAGGUUGUACCCAAUGCAUUUAGCUGCUGGUACUACACAGAGACAGCCCUAUACUGUUAACUCAUGAAUACAGACAUACCUGUGAGGGUUAUGGUUGGAACUCUUUUGAGUUAGCUUCACCCAGUAAACUUCACAAUAAUCUUCCACACCUCAUUGCCUUACUUUGCUGGAAUUUCACCUCGUGAGUUGCAAUUAUUCAGGGUUUUCUGGUUUGAGGGUUUGGUUUUUUGUUUGGUUUUGUGUAGAGGAGUAUUUUGAAAGAUUUUAAAUUAUUCAGACUUUUUAAAAUACAAAAUGCCUGGAAACAGUCAGGUGUUCCUUGGCCAGACGGUUUUGAAGAAACCUAUUUUUUUCCUGAAUGAACUCUAGAAUCUGAGUUCAAAAUGUGUCAGAGACCCAGGCCUCAAUCUGGUAAAUCAUGUAUGCACAACCCUAAGAUUAGACACAUGCUUAGUACUCAUAUCAAGCUGGUUUAGCCUUCGUGAACGUGAUGAGCUCUGCAAGUCCUUGUACUGCCAAAGGACGAGAGACACAUCCUGUAUACCCUUAAGAUCUGAGGGCUGGCGAAGUGUUGACGCAAUUCAAAGGGAAGACAAUCAAGUAGGCACCAUCAUCACUGUGCCACUCAAAUGCUAUCUUUUUCCGAACUAGGAUUGAAGAUUAUUUCACUGCAAACAGAAGAUCACCUCAUGAUCUACUGAUAGAGGUUGUAUUUUAGCUUUACAAAAAAUACCUUCCCACCAGCAAUUGAUGAAUGUAAGAUUUAAUCCAAGUACAUGUCUCCUUGCUUCCCCAGGAGUGUUUUCAGAUCUUCAGAACAACCAAGGGAGUUUGUAAAACUUUUCUGUAAUUCUCC
This 1204-nucleotide long non-coding RNA is filed under the name Strigops habroptila (Kakapo). RNAcentral's name for it is "lncRNA (ENSSHBG00005007433.1)". Lineage: Eukaryota; Metazoa; Chordata; Aves; Psittaciformes; Psittacidae. The record is from RNAcentral.